Anas platyrhynchos (mallard) is the source of this 10185-nucleotide long non-coding RNA. RefSeq lists it as uncharacterized. The record is from RefSeq and is a predicted model, not a curated record. Lineage: Eukaryota; Metazoa; Chordata; Aves; Anseriformes; Anatidae.
UCUAUCUCUACCACUUAGUGAAAGUAAGAAACUUUCUGGAAGGUAGUGCCUUAGGGUCACAGAAGAAAGAAAGAAAUGUUCUUAAAAGACUUUACUAGGAAUUGCCCUGCAAUUGUGUCCUGCUGUAACCCUUUGGUCUCUGUCUGCUCCUGACCCUGGCUGCUCAGAGGAAGGCUUGCUGGACUGGCUGCACUGCAGAGCACAAACUGGCCUCUACUUCAGUCCCGUGACUCAGAAGAGAAAUGUGUCCUUGACAAGCUGUCUCCUAGCACAGAUACAUCUGGAACAUGCAGCAAUCUUUGGAAAGGUUGAAUAAAGCUAGAGAUGUUCAUUGCCAAGGCUGGCCACAGUGGGGGCUCCUGCAUAUGUCUGCUUUGCAAGAAGAUUUUGACCGGAGCCGUGGCUUGAGGUGCAUCUCAGAACGGACAGUUUGCUAGCUCAUGAUGGGGAAUUAAUGGAUGUGGCUGAGCAUUGCUUGCAAUCAUCACCAAAAUGAGGGACUUUCUCAGCUCCACCACAGCCAGGCAGUGUGCAGUGCUUCUGGGAAGAGGAAGGCACUUCUCUGGAGGAGUAACUCAGGACACUUUUUCUAUGGACCUGUUGUGAUGCAUUUACUCAGGAUGAUGUCAGAACCAAGGGAGGAGCAAGAGAACACAAUUUCCAAUAUGAGCAACUCCAGGCACAUCCUCAUACUCCAUGGUAUGAUGGUAAGCAGAAAAAAAAAUGUUGUCACUCCAUGAAAGAAGUUUCAUCAUUCUUUUGGGAAAGUACUCUGUGGAAGUUCCCUCACACAAAGCUUUCUCCUCACCUUGACACUUAAAUUGUUUGCUGAAUUAGUUAUUGACCAACCAGUAGUCUGCCCUGAAUAAGGAACUGUAGGUAGGUUCACACCCAGAAUCUCAAAAGACACCCCAUAAUGGCAUGGAAACUUAUGUGUCUGCUUCUGCUUUGCUUUGCUCAAAAAGAAAUAUAAACAGUCACCUCCUCUCCUGACUUCCUUUCUUUGUGUCCCAGUCCAAUUACGUUGCUGCAGGCAACAAGAACUGAAGGACAGUGAGCUCACUCUCUGCUACCCACCCUUCUGAACCUGUAUAGCUCACCCUGUGAGACCUGCUCCUCGGAUGAAGCUACUUGAUCUUCAUGUCUUCACACUCCUAGUUUCUACCUUGCAUCUGAACACUUGGGACUUUACAAACUGGCUGAGUGGUCAUCUUAUUAGCACAUUGUUUGAUGUUAUAUUGCCUGAAAAUGAGAACAGUAUCAAUAACAACACUGGGGUGUGUGACAAGUUCUGUUAGUCCCACUGCUGUUAAGGCUCAAGACAAGGCAUUACAGUGUGCUUUGAUGUGUGUUGUGUCAUACAUAGUCACAAAGACACGGGACACUGCAACGGAACUAUCCUCUUGUUUUUUUUUUCUGCCAGUGUCUGAGUUCAGCUAGGUGGCCAGAUUUUUCAAGGUUGAAAUCAGAAAUAAAAGGCUGUAUUUCUCAGAAUUCUUAGAAGCAAUACUUAAAGUAUUACAGUCUUUGUAAUCUGGGACCCCCAACAGAAGAAGGACAUGAAUUCAGUGGAGUGGGUCCAGAGGAAGGCGAUGUAGAUGAUCAGAGGGCUGGAGCGCCUCUCCUGUGAAGACAGCCUGAGGGAGUCGGGGUUGUUCAGCUUGGAGAAGAGAAGGCUCUGAGGAGACUUUAAGGCAGCCUUCCAGUGCCUAAAGGGGGCCUGCAGGAAAGCUGGAGAUGUAAUUUAUCAGGGAGCCUGGUGAUAGAACAAGGGGUAAAAUCUUAAAAAUAGAAGAGGGUAGACAGAGGUUAGAUAUAAGGAGGAAAUUCUUUACUCUGAGGGUGGUGAGGCCCUGGCACAGGUUGACCAGAGAAGCUGUGGAUGCCCCAUGCCUGGAGUUGUUCAAGGCCAGGCUGGAUGGGGCUUUGAGCAACCUGAUCUAGCAGGAGGAGUCCCUGCACAUGGCAGAGGGUUGAGAAUUUGAUGAUUUUGAGGUCCCUUCCAACCCAAACCAUUCUAUGAUUCUUUUGUUUCUUUAUUGCCAGUCAUACUUCUAUUAUUUCUAGCAUUUGUAUAUGUGACUGUUAAAUACAAUUCUAGCUGGCAUAUGGAUCAGUCAGCAACUAGUACAAAAUGACUCUUUAGGACCAGUGUGUGCUUGUUGUUAACAAACCUAGAAGUCUUCCCUGCAAAAGAGGAAUCACAGAAAAAGAGUCUGUGUUCCCUGCUACUGUUUGAGACAGGAUAUUGGGCUCAACUGGCUUUUGGCCUGAUCUGGAGAAAGGCAUUCUCAUACUUUGCUUCCUAUUCUAUUUUUUAUUUGCUUAGUUAUAAACCUAAGGAGAGAUGAGAACUGUUAAGUAUGAAAUUGUAUAGGAAAGCAGGUAAAUUAGAUUUGGAAAGACUUGCCAGUGAAUUGGAAUAGUUUCUGGCUGGAGAAUCAUCUGCAGUAGCAUGGUGCUUUGCCAUAAAAUACUUAAUCUAAAGUCUUGUAUAAUGACCUUUGCUGUACCAAAGCACGUAUUUCUUGAGAUGGGGUUUUUGGCUGCAAAACACCACACUGGAAAAACCUUCAAGAAGAGAAAUUUGGAGAUACUAAGGCCUAUCUGCCGGAAUGGACUAGCAGAUAGAUCACCUUUUUCUGCCUGCUCUAUUAGCAGUUUCUCAGCAGCUACUAAUUACAGCCGUUCAGGCUGUGAUUGUUGUUUCAUUAAUUAGAUACCACAUGUUGUUUGCUUCUCUUUGCUGCCCAUCUUGACUAGCCUUUGACUGUGAGUGCAAUCAAGCAUUUCCAAGGUAAAUGGUACAUGAUCAGCGGCCAUGCGACAAAGAUAAAAAUUGUCCUAGGGAUUGUGCCUGUAGUAUCAAACAAGCAAAUCUUGAUUCAGCAGUGUAAAGAUCCCAUGUUCAAGUUUUUUACUUGGAUCAAAACUUGCUGCAAAUAUAUAAAGUGUAUUAGAAAAACAAACAAACAAAAAAAAACAUUUAAACACAGGAAUAUAUGUUGUACUGUGCUUUUAUAUUUCGGGAUUUGUUCAUUUGGCAAGUUAAACGGUACCAUUGAAAUCAACAUAUGCUUUUCUUCUCAUUGUGUUUUACUGCCGUAGAGGUGGUGGUAUCAGUGAAAAGGAUGAGUUAGUUAUAGAAAUGUUGCAUGAUACAACACAAUCUAUAGGCAGGUUACCAGAGUAACUUCCACAGGAUCUGAAACUGAGACAGAGACCAAGACUGCAGUUGUGUCCAUAUGGGCUCAAAAAGCCUGUCAUUUCUGCAUUCCCCAAUCACAAAAACUGUUCUUGAGGGUUUUCUCAGUUUUGAAAAAUAAGAAAACUGUCUUUCUUCCUUCUUGGAUAUGGCUUUCUUUUCCCCUAAAGAAGCUGGUCAUAAUCAGCUGCAAACUGUUUCUGUGAGUACCAGGCUGUACUAUAAAUCUGUAAGUUAGCUUUCCUGUAGCAUAAUUAUUCAUUGUGAUGCUUAUAACAUAGCAGUUUUACGUGCUUGCCUUCAUGCCAAAGUAGCUACUACUUUAAAAUACAAAGGAAGCUGAAGAUUGUAUAAGCUAUGUGCAGAUGAGGUAAUGAAUGUUUGGGCAGAAUCUGAACUGAAAGCAGCAGGUCCUUCAGCGUGCAACAGGGAAAAAGCCCAGAGCAGCUGACUGGAACCAGCAGCUGAAUCACUUGCACCCAGUACAAAAUUGCCAUUCAUUUGGCAUGAACAGAAACAUUUUCCUGGUCAGGAAUGGAGAUGGCAAAUACUCAGGUCAGGGACCACACAGAAACACAACUCGAAUCAUCGAUAUUAAACCAUUCUUCUUACAGCUGGCAUAUAGGUGCUCACACCUCCCCUUGUUUCUUGAACAAGAAUCCUUCUGCAAAGACCUCAGUCAGAAAUGUUCCAUGGCAAGAAAUUGAGUUGCUGUGGUCAAGUAUGAAACAAUCUAAAUCCUAUUACGCUUGGACAGUUGAUAUGUCAGCACAGCUGGGAAUGGCAGAGACAAAACAGAUUUUAAAAAGAUAAGAUCCCUUCUUAUGUCUCUUUGCCUCUGUGCUUAAUUACUUUGGCUGCAGACACCAUUGCUGGAAGCAAAGGCAACUUUUAAAAGAUUUCUCCCCCCUUUCAAAUAAAAACAAGAUUAAUGUGUUAGCUGAUUCAUAUCAUAAACAUUCAGACAAUGACUGUUCAGUUUCAAAAUUAACAAAGAAAGCUGAUACUGUUGAGAACAGAAAAAAUAAAUACAGAUUUCCUGGUUUAUGGUUACAAAUAAAAGCACUGUAAUAAAGGACAAAUUUUCAUGGAUAAUUAAAAAGGAGAAAAAAUAUUACAAAAUUAUAGUACAGCACAGGACUACAGAAAGUGUGUUUCUGUACUGAAAGAAAUGGCAUUGACAACAUUAUUUUUUGAGGUUCUGUAUUUUUUAUUUACAAAGAAAUACAUUGACAAUUGUUGAAAUAUUUGUAGUCUCCCUGUUAGAGUUCAGAUCUACUCUAAACACCUUUUUAAUGGACAAAGAUGAACAGAAAUUCUGUUGUGUACUUCCAUAUUGAACUCAUGCAUUGCUGGACUCCCUACUGGUUUGCUGCAUGACUAACUACAUAAUACUAAUUAUGCAAAGAAAAGAGAAUAGAUUAGCUUUCUGUCCUUGAAAUUCCGUGAUGUAUGACUCAAGACGGUAUUGAAAACCUGGGUUUCAUAUUUCUUCAAAUUUUCCAGUGGAAUUUCAAAUCUCUGUUGAGAAUUUUAGAUUACUGUGGUGGACUUACUCUUUUAAGAGAUCAUUUAAAAGCAUCUUAGACUGUGGGCCAGUUUGAAGAACCUCCAUUCCAUAGGAUAUAUUAAAAAGGUCUAACGUGCAUCCAUUCCCUAAAUGAGCCAAAACAUAGCUAUAGGUCUCCUGAUCCACUCUUUGAGAAGCAAGGCAGCACACUUGGGUCUGAUCGAGAACUAUUUUAAAACAGUGGGUUUUUUUUUUCCUGUCCUCAAGUCCAGUGGUUCCUUCAUCUUCCAGCCAAAGCCUGCACACAUGCAGGAACCUUGGUCAGAUUCAGAAAUGUCUGAAGUAAAUUUCUCUGUCUAAACAUUGUAGAUUUAGUAUCCAAGAGGCUUUUUUUGUGAACACUGGACCAAAAGCUGUUUUCACUGAAGUCUAAGCUGAAGCACACGUUAUAUUAGAGGGAGAAGGAUUAAACCUGUCCUAUUUUUCUCUUUAAGCCUGGAACAUUCAUUUUUCCACUGUACAAACUGUGUAAGUUUGCAUUAAUUUAAAUUUGUCUUCUAUCUGGAAGGGAACAUAAAUUCAAAACAUAAGGGCUUUUCUUCCAGCUUUCUUUUAAGAGUGUGCUGUGAAGGUCCAGGAACUACUCACAGAUUGCCUUAUCUUUUGCUGUUUAUUAGCGUAAAACUCUGUAACUAUUACAUAGUUUUAAUUACUCCUAGACUAGUACAAAACAACCUUAUUAUUUCUGUAAUUAUAGUAUUAAUACCUCUCACACUUCUACAGAAACUUAUUUCUUAACAUGACUAAUCUUAAUCUUAAAGCUAAUCUUAAAGUUUAGAUUUAUAUGAUAACACAUGAGAUUGAAUUCUGAGCUUUCUGAAUUCUGCAUUUUUUACUAAAAUCACAGCUUCUGGCUGUUGUGAUUCCAAAGAAUAUCUGAAGAGCAUAACCUGGCUCCACCCUGAACACUAAAAACAAUACCAGAAGAAGACAAAAAACCUUGUUUAAAAAAUAACUUCUUGGAGUAGUUACAUCUGGGAACUGAGGAAGGCCAGUGGGGUGGUAGCCCCUCCUAGCACCUUUUUUCCAUUAUCUGGUACGUAACAGAAGGGAGGAUUUGCCAGUCCAGCAGUCCCACUCUUUUCUCUAUUCUACUGUAAUUGCUAGAAACCAUCACAUGUGAAGGCUCCUGAAUUUUUAGCACUUUGGGUUGGUAAUACUGUAGUCCCAUUUAUUGCAACAUGACUUCAGUAAAACUAACAUUCACAGAACUUACGGGAGCUAAUGUCAUAUCACAAAACAACUACUGAAGUCAUUUCAGAAAUUUCCUUUGACUUUCAGAAGUUGAGGGAUGCUUUACUGGUUCAUUUGUGAAACAUCUUUGCUUUCCAAAUAGAUCUUGUAUGACCUCAUUUGUUAACAGUCAUAGGUGGUGUUGAAGCUCUUAUUACAUAAUUUGAAAUAUAUUUUCACAACCUUCAGGAACCUGGAAUUUUCUGACAGAUUAUUAAUGAUGCAACAGGGUGCCUAUUUCAUAACAGGGCACUGAAUCUUACUAUGAACUCCUGGAAUCCCUUAAAAGAUAGGGCCAUGUUCUCAGUUUGAGUAUCUAGGCCUUAGCACAAAAUAAAUAUAUACAUAAUAAUUACUAAGCAAAAUAGCCACUUGUUGUGACUUCACUUUUCUUCAAGGUAUAUGCCUGAAUACCUUAACCCAUGUCCACCUUCCUCUCCAAAAUAGCACUAAAUGCUGAUGAGAGAAGUAUAUUUCAUAAUGAUUGUACUUUGUACUGACUUACAUCCACUAAGAGUACAACUGAAAUACUGUCGGUACAGUAUUUCAUACAUAGAGGUCUGUAUGCUCUGCUUAUCAGAAGUCAUAGGGCAGAAGUUAGCACAGUGCCAAGUCUGAGCUAUAUGCCCUCUUAAGAGGGGUUCAAGCCAGCUUGUGAAAUACCACGUAAACAUAGCCAUAGUCAAUACAGCUAGGCGCAAGAAUAACUCCUCUGCUCUACUUUACUGUCCUCUCAUUAGUGCCAUGAUAACAGCAUGGUAUCUGAGCAAUGUGCUUGUAUAUAGCACACAUUGUGUUCCCCAGAGAAGGGAGUGUGUGCAUAGUAGCAGGGAAAGAAGGAGGGGUUUGUUUGCUCUUUAUAGACAAGUGCAUUUGGAGCAGAAGGCAAUGAUGUUUUCUGACUUCCUGGAAUGUUUCAUUCAAGUCUUGGGCCGUCUCUGUAGAAAGACCUGUUUUCUUCUUUUCCUCUGCCAAAAAGAAGCAUCACCUUUAUGUCCAGGUUUCUUACUAUUAGGAAGGGCAAAGAAUUUUUAUCUGCUAUCAUCCUCCUGACACUUCAGACAUUGUUUGAGAUGUUCUAGUGCCAGUCCCACAUAAUGCUGACAACUUCCUCAAGGUUUUGCAAUAUACUGCCAAAAGGAUGGAGAGGUUCAAAGUGCCUUUCAUUACCUUUGGCAAUUUUCCCUUUCCUCGAAAAAUAGGAGGAACAGCACUGCUUUUUUUACUUUUUUUUUUUUCUUUCUUUUUUUUUUUUUUCCCCCAGCUCUUCCCCUUAUCACGGCUGCAGAUCACUUAGCUUGGCCUACACUAGCCAGUGCGAAAGCAGCAGUCCUUCAUCUUGUGCUUCAUGUGCAGCCUAUAAGGCCUUUUGAUAUCACAAGGGCCAUAAGGACAUAACAAGCUUAUACUGAAUAAAAGGAGAACAUCACAUGCUGCUUACAGCUUAUUAUUUGUUUCAUAUUGUUACCUCUAAGACAUCAAAGGCUGCUUUGCAAAUCUCUGUGUGAAAAUUAAUUCUUAGGGCUGCUCAAAUAUAAUAAAAAAUAGUAAGCUGUACUUCAAAUACUGUGCUAUUAAACAGGUUAGUACUUAAGAAUAGAAUAUUCCCUGUAAUUCCACAAAAAUUAAAGCAUAAUGAACCCUGAAAUAUAAAAUACCUGCAAGGUGUUGUUAUAACCAAUAUCUUUCUCUUUCAGCAGCAUGCUUACCCUUUGCGUUUCUUUUCUACUGUGUUUCCAUUUUGUUUAAAGUCACUCACUGAACACUUUGUCUUAAGUAUGUGUUAAAAGCAUGACAUCACUUGCUGUACAGGUGUUCCUAUCUAUUAAUAAAUACCUGUUGUAAUGAUGUAUAAUUAAAUAGAUGUACUUCAUUUGAGAAAACCAAUUAAUGUCUAAGAAAAGUAGAUGAAUUUUAAAUGAUUAAUACAAUUCCAAAACUGAGUGUAAUUUCUCAGUAGAUUCUUUGCUGACUGCAUGUUAGUGUAGAUGGUUUUUCAUCUGUUUCAGCUAUAUUCUCCACUUUAUUUUUCUCCUGCAUUGAUCUUUCUUCAAGUGUGGCAAAGGAAUAACUGAAGAGCGGUAUGCAAGCAUCCAAGCAUUUUACAGAGCACACAAUAGAUGCUGUCUAGUUAUUGUCCGUGCUGACAUGAUUUUCCUGCAUUACCAGAUCCUAACACCAACAGAGAAGUCUUAUGUAUUGACUGCCUUUUGGUAAGGGAAAUGCAGACUUUUCCAGGGAUAUUCUUAUGGCUUAAAAUAGUGUAAUGGACUGCACUGGAUGUUGCCUCCUUUUUCACCUUCAAGCAGAUGUAGAAAGGCUGUGAUUGUUUCCUGGAGACUUGUUGAUCCCAGUCCAGUAAUGCAGUUCUGGAUUUUAAAACACUGUCUGAUCCCAUCACAUACCCAUUGCUGACAAUCACUGGCUCUAAAAAAUGAGACUGAUUGAUCAAUCAAUUGAUCUAGUUCUCUAUUCAUUUACUCACCUUUCCCUGUCUCUGUCAUUUCUUAAUUGAAGUGAAAUUCCUAUUAGUGUAAUAAAAAAGAUAAAUAUGUUAUCAGGUUAUCUGGGCUUGUACUCAGCUAAUAACUUUGUUGCCCAAGGAUUUUAUCCUUGCCUAUUACUAACUUGCUAUGAAUGCCUGAAGAAAAAAAUGCUAUAUGCAAUUUUAGAAUGGCAAAAAAGUAAAAUAAAAUAAAAUAAAAUAAACCAAAACAAAAUAAAAUAAAAUAAAAUAAACAAACAAAAACCACAAGUGUCCUGCUUCCUUUGCACAGAAGUUGCCUGACAAACAAAAAAUGCUGUUUGAAUUUAAGUCAAUUAGUUACUACUGGGUUUUUCCCCUUACUUUCUGUUUGAUAUGUUAUUUCCCCCACCUCCACCACUAUAUCCUGGCCAAAGGAAUGGUGACAGUGGAUUUCAAACAGUUACAACAUCACACAAGAAAGGAGUGAACCUCACUUACAGUGACCAACUUGCAUCUAAAUUCUAGUGUUAGCACAGAUUGUAGCAUAUCAGAUUUAUCAAAUGUAAACAACAGAUUUAUGAUAUAAACAGCAGACUGGUGUAAUAGGAAGCAUUGUAUUACUCCACUGAAAAGCAGUGAACCAUUUUUAUAUGCAUGCUCCGAGGGAGGAAUUUUUGUGCUUUCUUGUAUUAAAGAGGACUGGUAUCUAUAGUUCCGCAGCAAAUCUUACAGAGAUGACAUUCUUUUUUAUUUCUGCCCCAUAUUGUAUGAGUGACUAUAAAGAUUUGCAAAAGCAUAUCGUGGACAUAGGUACCAAAAUCCCACUGACUCCAGGCAAUCAUUUACUGUAGUAAAUGGGAUUCAUUCUUAAAUCACGUCUGAAAUGUCAAAAUGUCAUACAUAUCUCUUCUUGCUUUUUUUCUUUAAAAAAAAAAAAAAUCCUUACUCAUGAUAGUUCUAUCUCCUUCCCCCCAUUCUUUUUUACUUUUAAUAUAUUUCAUUUGAGGAGAGAAUUGUCUCUAAGUACAGGUUGUAUGUAUAAACAGAGUCUACUUAGAGACACAUGGCACGUUGUGAGCUGUGUGUUGACUGGACAGGUGUGAAUUUAGUGGGGGAGAAGGGAAUAGCACUAAGAGGUGAAAACUGCUCUUUUACACUUCCCUUCUUUAGCACCAGCUAGUGCUGUUUAUGCACUUGUAUUUUAUAUCUAAAUCCAGCACUAUAUUAAACAAGAAUUAGCUCUAAUUGGAAACUUUAGUAGUUACAUUAGCGUGAUGGUGGCCAAUUAAUUAGAUGAGGCCACAGUAACACUAUUGUGCAAUUUCUACUUUGAAGGUAGUGGAUUGCCUACCAGCUUGAGCACAAAUGAGGUAAACACCUUAUUAACCUCUCCAUCUAAGGAGAGAUACCUGGCAUAUGGAUUAACUUUAAGGUAGUCCUGUGUGGAGUCAUGAGUUGGACUCAAUGAUCCUUGUGCCUCCUAACCCAUCUAACCUUGUCCCUUCUAACCCAGAAUAUUCUGUGAUUCUAUGCUCUUGGAUUGUUGUUCUAGAUGCAACAUAAUGCAAACAAACCACUGUUGUAUAAAGCUGAGAUUUUAUUAUUAUUAUUUUUAAUAGAAGUGGAAUGUAUUGUUUCCUUCUAUUAUUUUCCAUUUCUGUGAAAGCUUGAUCUUGGUCCAGUGAUUACAUGUAGCAGCUUGGUACUGGA